GAUGAACGCUAGCGACAGGCCUAACACAUGCAAGUCGUACGAGAAAGUCGGCUUCGGCCGAUGAGUACAGUGGCGCACGGGUGAGUAGCGCGUGGGUAAUCUGCCCCCCGGUCAGGAAUAACCCGCCGAAAGGCGGGCUAAUACCCGAUAACACUGACGCUCCGCGGAGCGUCUUUCAAAGAAGGCCUCUGUUUACAAGCUUUCGCCGGAGGAUGAGCCCGCGUACCAUUAGCUAGUUGGCAGGGUAAUGGCCUACCAAGGCUACGAUGGUUAGCUGGUCUGAGAGGAUGGCCAGCCACACUGGAACUGAGACACGGUCCAGACUCCUACGGGAGGCAGCAGUGAGGAAUCUUGCGCAAUGGGGGAAACCCUGACGCAGCAACGCCGCGUGAGUGAGGAAGGCCUUCGGGUCGUAAAGCUCUGUCAGAUGGGAAGAAAGUAGGAUGGGGCGUAAUAUACGCCCAUCCCUUGACGGUACCAUCAGAGGAAGCACCGGCUAACCG
This 503-nucleotide ribosomal RNA is filed under the name uncultured bacterium. RNAcentral's name for it is "bacterial SSU rRNA". It matches the Rfam family "Bacterial small subunit ribosomal RNA", at positions 28 to 503 of the family's 1533-position model. The record is from RNAcentral.